AGUUAAAAUACAAAGAAAACUUUUAGUUCUUUAGGGUUUGACUUCUUGAACUUAACACAAACUGGCCGAUACAGAGACUACAUACGAGAGAAGCUGUUUCUCCUGCCAAGUGUUUCCUGUAUGACUGGUUUCCAGUCAAGGCUGGACACAGUGGGCAGGAGGCCAGUUUAAGGAGGACUGCUGAAGCCCUGCUGUCAGGCUCAGAAGAGCCCAAGGAACAAGGGACACAGGUGACCUGGAGGACACAGGGUGGCUGCCAGACUGGAAAGGGGACAAGAGGAUCGAACUUGGGACCUUGCGCUUGUGAGGCAGGCACCGGAACCACUGAGCCAAAUCCCUGACCCUUGUUCCUGAUUUUAGAAGGAAAGCUUUCAGUUUUUCCUCCUUUAAUAUGAUGCUGGCAGUAGUUUUCCAUAAAUGAUUUUUAUCAGAUUGAG
This is a long non-coding RNA of Heterocephalus glaber (naked mole-rat), 437 nucleotides long. The record is from Ensembl. Lineage: Eukaryota; Metazoa; Chordata; Mammalia; Rodentia; Bathyergidae.